GACAAAACCAUCCCAAACGAAACCCUACCCAAUCGCCGGUCUCUUCCCCAAUCCCAUCUCUCUCCUCCCGCCCUUCCCUCUCCCUCGUCUCUGAUGUCGCCGGGUGGCCCUGGGCGAGAGCGCUCCUUCGGCGCGAGCGGGGGCUCCGGCCUUGGGCGUGGGUGCCGCGUACGGCACGCCCCGUCUGCCCUGCUCACCGUCGCCACGGACCGGAGGAGGUCCGGCGGCGCGCCGCCAUGGGGAGCUCGUCGACCACUACCUGGAGCUUCAGAUCCCCUUGUCCGACGGCAGCAGGGACUCCCUCUUGCUCGUGCGCGCCUCCCCGUGCCGUCCUCUCUCUCGUCCCGGUCGAUCCGGCGACGCAUCGGAGGCUUCUUCUCCGAGUUGUGGCACGCACCGCAAGCGGCGCAGCAGCCGAGCGCUGCAGCCCCACUCGAGCCGCCGUCGACCUCCGUCGCGCCCUCCUACCUGGAGCGGAAUACAAGGUGCGGACGAGCUAGGAAAGACCGGGCGACACCGGCCUAGGGCCCUUCUCUCAACAAAGUUUCUUGUCCCAAUCCCAAAUGCAUCUCUAGGGAAGAAACAAAGGAAAGCAUGAUCAAUGAGACCAGCAGUUUUAGUCCGAUGAAGUUCAAGAUAAAUAACCUCAAAAACUUUAGUACCUCUAGAUGUGUACCAGCUACAUGAUACUAAUUCAUGAGACUUAAGAUCCUACACUAAUCUGCUGACAUGGCCCACAUGCGAUGGUGUGUGUGUGUCAUAAUGUAAAUUUGAAUCUUCUUUUGAAGAUAAAGUUUCUGAUUUCACUCUCUGUCUAUUUUCGUUCAGCCUUGUUUCGAGGAAAAAGAUGAAUUUCAUAUUGUUUGGUAUCUAAUAAAUUUGGGGUUAGUUGCACAUCUCUGCCGCUGCUGCUCCCCGAGGUAUUGUCCUCCAUGACUGCACAAACAAGUAGGACGUCUCUCUCACCAUUCCCCUCAUCUCAGGUGAUUUUAUUAAUCUCUGAAACUGAAAGGACGGUGCUUAUUCUUAUUAGUCUUCCUUUUCAUGGUCAACUGCCACACACUUUGGACUCCAUCGUCUCAACAAAGGUAUGUUUGUCCAUAUAUUUCUGAUGCUUUCCCUUGAUGUAUUCUCAGUUCUCUGAUUGGCUGCGGCUGCUUUCGCCAUGUUCCCUCCUCCCACACACACGCCAAAUCGCCAUGCAGAUUUGGUCUUUGGUUUGAUAAGCAAAGGUAUCAUUUGGGGAGUGACUUAUUUGGUCGUGAUUCAUCCUCAUAUUUCCCCAUAUGGUCCUUUCACAUCUUGAAUUUUGAUACGGUGGUCUUUCAGUUCUUAUUACCAUGAAUUCUAGCUAGGGCAUGCAUAACAGAAAAGCUUGUACUUACAGUUUGUUGUAGCAAUUGCGUGCUUUUGCAUAGUCUCACCAAGCAAAGAGUUGCUAACUGGAAUGUUAAGUCAAUGUUGCAACCAUUUUAGCAGCAAAUAUGUACAUGGAAAUGUUAUGCUUGGUGAAUUCAGGAGGGGCCGGCAGCAGCCUCUGCUCCCAGGAUGCCCUACUCCACAUGCAACCUACAUCUAAUUUUUCUAAAACCAAAUAAAUGCAGCCUUUGAGCGUGGAUUUCUGGAUUAAUGCAGUCAGUUGUGUUCAUCAUCUUUAUUUGGGUUCUAUCACAUACAGAGGUCUGUGUGAUUGAAUAGUUGAUUGGCUUAGACGGGGUGUGAUUGAUUAUUGAUGCCUCUUUAUCUUUUGAAAGAAGCCAUUUCUUUGGUCUUGAAAGGAUGCAAUAGUUUAUUCGGAACCUACCAAUGUGCCUCCAUGUCUACCAAUUGACAAAAGCCAGGCUAGGACAUCACUGAUCGUGUCAGGAAAUCAGUUUGGAAAUCCUCGUGUAAGGCGACCGAUGCGCGAGCGUUGCCGCAAAGAAGGUAGUCCAUAAGUACGUCGUGGCCGCUGCCAGCACGCGAUGCUGGAACCAACACGGACGUGUGGGAGCUUCAUGUGGAGGUUAUCGAUCGAGCGUGGGGAUGUCGGCUCUCCUUAGUCUUGGUCAUCGAAGCACGUCCGUCAAAUGAGCAGUCAUUUAAUUGUGCGACAGGUGGCAGAAGGAUCAGGCAUGUUGCUCACUGCCUGAUUAAUGAAGUGGUACCAUCUUAAAUACAAAAUUACAAGUGUUUGUAUGUGUGUUGACAGGCAGUUGUUCUGGCAAGAGAUGGUUGCGGAGGAAUCUAGGGGUGACUGGAAUACUGACACAACAAGCCUAGAACAACGGCUGGAAAAUCUGGCGAUCGAUGUGUACAAAAGUGCUAAAAUCAAGAUUAAUGAUCUACUUGAGUGAAGACAAAAGACCAAUUUUUUAUCUACAUGCUAAAAUCAAGCCAUCAGUAGAUCAAUAGGAAGGUGUGCACUUGAACUUUGUCAUGACUUACUUUCAGGUAGGGCUUCUCUCAUGUGCCUGGUGCCUGCCGGUUGUUUUGCUAUUCUAUAUGUUCCUACGAGAAGAGCUUCUCUUAUUUCGCUUUUUAUUGGGUGUUCCCUGCGGCCAUUGCCUUGCCCAUGCUCCAGUAAUUUUCCCAACACAACAGCUGCCUAGAACACAAAUCUGUCUCAGCAUCUCUGUAUAAAGAUACUGAACAAAUUGCAUGAUGAAGGGAGAAGAAACUCGGCACAACUUCCAGCAAAUAUGAAAAAUUAGAGAGGGAGAUAGGUACAAGUGAAGAAAAAACCUUUCGAUGUUGUCAAAAAAGGAGAGGCAGCACAUCAAGAGUGGAACUGUGGCCAUAGUCCCUGGAGCGAAUAGUGGUUGCAUUUGUCGAGAAGCCACAUGACAGAUAUGGUCACGGCUGCUGUCCUCAAGAAUACCACGGGGGCGCAUCCAGCUCCGGUUACCGGAGAUUCACUGCCGCCCUCGGAUAUUCGCCCGAGCAGCGUGGAAGCCUGUGUACCCUCAGCAUCUACUACUUCAUUCAAGAAAAAUUUGCUACUUUUUUUUAUUCAUCAUGUCGCCUCUUUUAUUUAGCAAAAACAUAUAACUACCUUCUCUUUUUAAUCUUCAUGAUCACUAUAUUGUUGUACUCCACUAUUUGUCUCCUCCUUUAUUCGAGAAAAUAUUAUCAUUUUCUUCUACUGAUCGUAUCAAUAUCUUAUUUUAUUGAUCGUAAACUAACUAUAUACACCAAGAAGUCAACACCACAGACGCAUAAAUUAUGUUGUAUCACGCUGCUUUUUCUUCCGUUUGAUGUAUGAAACACAAAACAUUACACCAUAAUUGCAAACUUAGAGUACCAAUAUGUAAUAUAUUACCCUUUAUUUUCCAAGGUUGUCUCUUUCUUGGGUCCAUAUCACCUUAAGUGUCGUGGUGGUUGAUAUAAAGGUAUUAUGGACUGUUUAACAAGCUGCAACUCAAAAUUUGAGCAUCUGCUUAAUUAGCCGCCAUGUUUUUGGUGUUUACCAUAAAGUUUUAUCACUGUGAAGCCAUGGAAAAUUACUU
Molecule: non-coding RNA, 3488 nt
Organism: Lolium perenne
Lineage: Eukaryota; Viridiplantae; Streptophyta; Magnoliopsida; Poales; Poaceae
Source: RefSeq, a predicted model, not a curated record